This 402-nucleotide ribosomal RNA is filed under the name bacterium. RNAcentral's name for it is "partial 16S ribosomal RNA". It matches the Rfam family "Bacterial small subunit ribosomal RNA", at positions 355 to 776 of the family's 1533-position model. The record is from RNAcentral.
UGGGGAAUUUUGCACAAUGGGGGAAACCCUGAUGCAGCGACGCCGCGUGAUUUAGAAGGCCUUCGGGUUGUAAAAAUCUUUUCUAUGGGAAGAAAAUGACAGUACCAUAGGAAUAAGGACCGGCUAAUUACGUGCCAGCAGCCGCGGUAAUACGUAAGGUCCGAGCGUUGUCCGGAAUCAUUGGGCGUAAAGGGUACGUAGGCGGGUAGGCAAGUUAGAAGUGAAAUCCUAUAGCUCAACUAUAGUAAGCUUUUAAAACUGCUCAUCUUGAGGUAUGGAAGGGAAAGUGGAAUUCCUAGUGUAGCGGUGAAAUGCGCAGAUAUUAGGAGGAAUACCGGUGGCGAAGGCGACUUUCUGGCCAUAACCUGACGCUGAGGUACGAAAGCGUGGGUAGCAAACAGG